GACGAGCGCUGGCGGCGUGCUUAACACAUGCAAGUCGACGACGCUACUGAGUAGCAAUAUUUAGUAGUGGAGUGGCGCAAGGGUGAGUAAUGUAUACGUAACCAACCCAUCGGAGACGGAUAACAUUUCGAAAGGGAUGCUAAAACGGCAUGAAGCCACGAUUUCGCAUGAGAUUGUGGUUAAAGAACCGGUAACAGGUUGCCGAUGGCUGGGCGUAUAUCCGAUUAGCUAGUUGGUAGUGUAAUGGACUACCAAGGCGACGAUCGGUAGCUGGUCUGAGAGGAUGAUCAGCCACACUGGCACUGAGACACGGGCCAGACUCCUACGGGAGGCAGCAGUGGGGAAUAUUGGGCAAUGCCCGCAAGGGUGACCCAGCAACGCCGCGUGGAGGAUGAAGGCCGUAAGGUUGUAAACUCUGACAAGCAGGGAAGAACGGCUAUGGUAAAAGGCCAUAGAAUGACGGUACCUGCCUGAAGCCCCGGCUAACUACGUG
This 493-nucleotide ribosomal RNA is filed under the name uncultured bacterium. RNAcentral describes it as "partial 16S ribosomal RNA". It matches the Rfam family "Bacterial small subunit ribosomal RNA", at positions 28 to 507 of the family's 1533-position model. The record is from RNAcentral.